RNAcentral lists this ribosomal RNA (400 nucleotides) under uncultured bacterium. RNAcentral's name for it is "bacterial SSU rRNA". It matches the Rfam family "Bacterial small subunit ribosomal RNA", at positions 30 to 432 of the family's 1533-position model. The record is from RNAcentral.
AUUGAACGCUGGCGGCAUGCCUUACACAUGCAAGUCGAACGGUAACGGGCCUUCGGGUGCCGACGAGUGGCGAACGGGUGAGUAAUGCAUCGGAACGUACCUUUCAGUGGGGGAUAACGUAGCGAAAGUUACGCUAAUACCGCAUAUUCUGUGAGCAGGAAAGCAGGGGAUCGCAAGACCUUGCGCUGAUUGAGCGGCCGAUGUCAGAUUAGCUAGUUGGUGAGGUAAAGGCUCACCAAGGCGACGAUCUGUAGCGGGUCUGAGAGGAUGAUCCGCCACACUGGAACUGAGACACGGUCCAGACUCCUACGGGAGGCAGCAGUGGGGAAUUUUGGACAAUGGGGGCAACCCUGAUCCAGCCAUGCCGCGUGAGUGAAGAAGGCCUUCGGUUGGUAAAGUA